RNAcentral lists this long non-coding RNA (681 nucleotides) under Dermacentor andersoni. Its description in RNAcentral is "uncharacterized LOC126537827". Lineage: Eukaryota; Metazoa; Arthropoda; Arachnida; Ixodida; Ixodidae. The record is from RNAcentral.
CAGCUUCGUGUGUAUACAUAUAGUCUUCCCUAUGCAUUAGGUUUUUUGCGUAAUGCAUUAACAGUUGACAGCCUAUCUUAUGAUGUGUACUCUGUUUACAUUACAGUUGUUUAUUAGUUUACUCGUUUGUUUUGCGACUGAUGAAAUGCCGGCAUAUAUAUAUUUUCAACAUUUGACAUAACCCUGUAUGUUUUGCAGGGACAACCCAGGACGUGCAUUUCUCAGCACCCAGUCAACUGCCAAAAGUGACUCAAACACAGGCCACCAGUGGAACUCGGCUGUACCACUGCAGUGCUGCGGAAAUUGCCUUCUCCAGCGGCUUUGCAACAGCUGUUUCGCAGCAUGUCGGAGACAAUGCCUACGAAAUUAUUGGCCCUGAUCAUGAGAGCCCUCAAGGGGCAAACAACAUCUCUGUUGCAGAAGUGAGCCCGGUACCACUUGGAAGUUACCAUGACAGAUGACACGGCAGCAAUAGAUACAGAGACUGCCACGUCUACUGCAGCAGCAACAGUGUACGAGGCAAGCAGCAGCGCGUCAGCAGCAGUGUCAGAAGGAACCACACCAGGCCUGGUAGAGCAACAUGUGUGCUAUCACUGACUUUUUUUGUAGUGGAUACAACUCAUUUGCUCAACAUACAAAAGCUUUUCACCACGACUGUGAGCCAGUGUUAUUGUGCAGCAA